CUUUGGGCCUUAUCCCCUCGACCGAAUCGAAGAGAAGUCAUUCCCUUUUCUUCUUCUUCUUUCUUCUCAUUCUUUCUUUCUCUGUGUUUCUUCUUCUUUUUCUUCCUCCUUCUGUUCUUCGCCUUUGGCGAUUCUGAGAGAUGUUCUUGGGGUUAUAAAAUUAAUAAGAGAGACAUAGGGUAAAACCUCGAGGGAUGUUUGAUGGUGGUGGUGUUGAUGUUAUUUGAGCUCGGGAGAAGGAGUUGAUGUUGCUAUAAUUGAAAUUAGGGUUUUGAGAAUGAAUUCGAGUUCUCAGGUGAAUUUGUGGGUUGUUGGGAUGUUGUUAGUUGAAGAUUAGAAAGGGUUAUUGUUGAAUCAAGGUUGUGAAGUUGUUGUGAUGAUGAAUCUAAAAAGUUAAUUAGGGUUUCUCAGGGCAACCUCAGAGAAGAAUUAAGAGUUCGAUUUGAUGAUAAUUAAGAAGAAAUUGGAGAUGGGUUUAGUUAAUUGAAGUAAGGGUUUUCGUUCAACUGAUAAUCUGAAGUGGUCUUGAAGUAAUCUGAGAAGUUAAGGUUUGAAGUUUUGAACCAGAUGUUGAAUUGCAGCUGACGAAUAACAUGGAUUUGAUUCUCGUGUUAAGAAGGUGAUGGUGAUAUUAAUGAUGUUGAAUCAAACCCAGGAAGACUGGAAAAAGGGUUUCUGUGAGUUUAAUUUGGAAUGGAAUUCUAUUAAUAAGGAUGUUGGGGUAAGUGAACUGUAUUGGGGUUGUGAUGCUAUUGAUGUUGCUGAGGCUGGUGGUGGUAUUGUAUAUGAGGUGUUGUAACUUAGCUGGUGUGGCAAAGAAGAACUAAUAUUUAGUUUCUGAAAUUGCAGUUGAGGUAAUUGUUCUUCUUAAAUUGAACUGGUAGAGUUUUGUUUUCUUCUGGGUUUUAUUGUUGAUGAAGUUGGGAAUUGAAAUGGUAUGAGAUGGAUGUGUGGUUGUGAUUUUGGCCUAUGUUAGAAUGAUGCAGGGGAUGGUUGAAGACCUUUAGAUGAAUGUUGUUUAGAUUGUGGCAGUAUAUGAAGUUGUUACAGUUUGGAUUUGAACUCCAACUGGUGGUUGUGAAUUUAAGGUUUAGUGGAAAAUGGAGUUGAGUUUCAGGUGGUAAUGAAUUUGAAUCCCAAUUGAGUACAAGUUGUUCUGGUGGUGCGGAAGUUGCAGGGGAUAUUGAGUUGAUGUUACAGGUAAUUGUGGUUGUUGAGUUGAAGUUACAGUGGACUGGGAUUGAACUGGAUUGUUUGAAUGGUUUGCUUGGUUGCAGUUCAUGGAGUUGGGAGUGAAGUUAUAUAUGCGCAAGUGGUAUUAUUAGUGUGGUGAAUGAAACUGAUAUUGGGAGUGAUGAUGUUUUGUUAGUGUUGAGAUCGAAUUACAGUUGGGAGUGAAGUGCAGUUGUACUUAUCCAACUGAGUUGUGCUUAUGAAUAAUUAUGAUGUUUGUUUGGUUUGGAUGUACUCUUGUAAUGAUAAGAUUAGUUUGGCAGAAUUGGAAAGGUGUAGUUUGGAGCUUGCUGCUACCGCAAAUGCAGGUAAGCUUAAUUGUAAUUGUAAAUGAAGUUUGAAGUUUGUUUAAGAUGAAUGGAUUAAUGUGAAACAAUGAUAAACAAGAUGUCAUUGUAUAAGAAUGAAGUCGUAAGGAAAUGAAAAUAAGUUCAAGAUUGUUUUGGUGCAAUCUAGUGAGCA
This is a long non-coding RNA of Papaver somniferum (opium poppy), 1695 nucleotides long. RefSeq lists it as uncharacterized. The transcript has 2 exons. Lineage: Eukaryota; Viridiplantae; Streptophyta; Magnoliopsida; Ranunculales; Papaveraceae. The record is from RefSeq and is a predicted model, not a curated record.